This 575-nucleotide ribosomal RNA is filed under the name Psychrobacter sp. YGAH215. RNAcentral's name for it is "bacterial SSU rRNA". It matches the Rfam family "Bacterial small subunit ribosomal RNA", at positions 1 to 524 of the family's 1533-position model. Lineage: Bacteria; Pseudomonadati; Pseudomonadota; Gammaproteobacteria; Moraxellales; Moraxellaceae. The record is from RNAcentral.
AUGAGCCAAGUUUCGGAGUCUCUUUAAAGGACUUCAAGCAAGAUUAAACUGAAGAGUUUGAUCAUGGCUCAGAUUGAACGCUGGCGGCAGGCUUAACACAUGCAAGUCGAGCGGUAACAGGAGAAGCUUGCUUCUCGCUGACGAGCGGCGGACGGGUGAGUAAUACUUAGGAAUCUACCUAGUAGUGGGGGAUAGCUCGGGGAAACUCGAAUUAAUACCGCAUACGACCUACGGGAGAAAGGGGGCAACUUGUUGCUCUCGCUAUUAGAUGAGCCUAAGUCGGAUUAGCUAGAUGGUGGGGUAAAGGCCUACCAUGGCGACGAUCUGUAGCUGGUCUGAGAGGAUGAUCAGCCACACCGGGACUGAGACACGGCCCGGACUCCUACGGGAGGCAGCAGUGGGGAAUAUUGGACAAUGGGGGCAACCCUGAUCCAGCCAUGCCGCGUGUGUGAAGAAGGCCUUUUGGUUGUAAAGCACUUUAAGCAGUGAAGAAGACUCCAUGGUUAAUACCCAUGGACGAUGACAUUAGCUGCAGAAUAAGCACCGGCUAACUCUGUGCCAGCAGCCGCGGUAAU